This 506-nucleotide ribosomal RNA is filed under the name uncultured bacterium. RNAcentral describes it as "partial 16S ribosomal RNA". It matches the Rfam family "Bacterial small subunit ribosomal RNA", at positions 29 to 523 of the family's 1533-position model. The record is from RNAcentral.
AGUGAACGCUGGCGGUAGGCCUAACACAUGCAAGUCGAACGGCAGCACAGAGGAGCUUGCUCCUUGGGUGGCGAGUGGCGGACGGGUGAGGAAUACAUCGGAAUCUACUCUGUCGUGGGGGAUAACGUAGGGAAACUUACGCUAAUACCGCAUACGACCUACGGGUGAAAGCAGGGGACCUUCGGGCCUUGCGCGAUUGAAUGAGCCGAUGUCGGAUUAGCUAGUUGGCGGGGCAAAGGCCCACCAAGGCGACGAUCCGUAGCUGGUCUGAGAGGAUGAACAGGAAAACUGGAACUGAGACACGGUCCAGACUCCUACGGAAGGCAGCAGUGGGGAAUAUUGGACAAUGGGCGCAAGCCUGAUCCAGCCAUACCGCGUGGGUGAAGAAGGCCUUCGGGUUGUAAAGCCCUUUUGUUGGGAAAGAAAUCCAGCUGGCUAAUACCCGGUUGGGAUGACGGUACCCAAAGAAUAAGCACCGGCUAACUUCGUGCCAGCAGCCGCAGUAA